AACCUGCCCAAGAGAUCGGGAUAACACCUGGAAACAGAUGCUAAUACCGGAUAACAACAGAUGAUGCCUAUCAACUGUUUAAAAGAUGGUUCUGCUAUCACUCUUGGAUGGACCUGCGGUGCAUUAGCUAGUUGGUAGGGUAACGGCCUACCAAGGCGAUGAUGCAUAGCCGAGUUGAGAGACUGAUCGGCCACAUGGGACUGAGACACGGCCCAAACUCCUACGGGAGGCAGCAGC
This 237-nucleotide ribosomal RNA is filed under the name uncultured Lactobacillus sp. RNAcentral's name for it is "partial 16S ribosomal RNA". It matches the Rfam family "Bacterial small subunit ribosomal RNA", at positions 123 to 355 of the family's 1533-position model. The record is from RNAcentral. Lineage: Bacteria; Bacillati; Bacillota; Bacilli; Lactobacillales; Lactobacillaceae.